UUUUUUGGGUCGACUCAACGUUGGGUCGACCCUAUUCUGGGUUGGGUCGACCCAAGUUCAGAAAUUUUUCCUUUCUCUUCCUUUUCGCUUCUAAAAAUUUUUCUUGCUUCCAAUCCUUACAAAUUCUUUCUGGGACAAUGAUACCUGAGUAAGAAAUCUAUAGAUUACAAGUUUGACUCAUGUUUCAUGGGUUUUUAGAAAUGGGAGGAAUGUAUCAUGAGACUGCUUGCUCCC
Molecule: long non-coding RNA, 234 nt
Filed under: Phoenix dactylifera (date palm)
Lineage: Eukaryota; Viridiplantae; Streptophyta; Magnoliopsida; Arecales; Arecaceae
Description: long non-coding RNA (PDAC_LNC018031)
Source: RNAcentral